CUGGCUCAGAUUGAACGCUGGCGGCAUGCUUUACACAUGCAAGUCGAACGGCAGCGGGGGCUUCGGCCUGCCGGCGAGUGGCGAACGGGUGAGUAAUGCAUCGGAACGUGCCCAUGUCGUGGGGGAUAACGUAGCGAAAGCUACGCUAAUACCGCAUACGCCCUGAGGGGGAAAGCGGGGGAUUCUUCGGAACCUCGCGCGAUUGGAGCGGCCGAUGUCGGAUUAGCUAGUAGGUGAGGUAAAGGCUCACCUAGGCGACGAUCCGUAGCGGGUCUGAGAGGAUGAUCCGCCACACUGGGACUGAGACACGGCCCAGACUCCUACGGGAGGCAGCAGUGGGGAAUUUUGGACAAUGGGCGCAAGCCUGAUCCAGCCAUGCCGCGUGAGUGAAGAAGGCCUUCGGGUUGUAAAGCUCUUUCGGCCGGGAAGAAAUCGU
Molecule: ribosomal RNA, 436 nt
Filed under: Thauera sp. R-28405
Lineage: Bacteria; Pseudomonadati; Pseudomonadota; Betaproteobacteria; Rhodocyclales; Zoogloeaceae
Description: bacterial SSU rRNA
Rfam family: Bacterial small subunit ribosomal RNA
Source: RNAcentral